UGCUUUUUAGAUUUGGGGGGAAUAAUUUCACUCCCGCUGCGACGCGAACGAAAGAGACCUAUAGGCAUCGCUCUGCAGGUAUCCCGCCAGCGCCGCCGUGAGAUCGGCCGCCAUCCACUCGAAAACCCUAAUUCUGAUCACCGCACCGUCAACAAGAUUCUCUCUUCUCUCUUCAAGGGCUAUCGUCUCCGCAUUGGGAACCCGCAUUGGGAACUGUUGAGUCUUUAAUGCCUCUUCACAGCGCGAUCGGCGUUGAUUCCUCUUGCUGGACUUGCCUCUCUCAAGUGAGGAGUUGAUCAUUCUUGUUCCUGUAAGCGGUAUUCAAAGAAGGGUGGGAGCGCUUCUGAUCUUAUCCCUGAUUAUUUAUAGAUUGCGACUUCAAACCUCACAAUGCAGAAUGUUCCCUGACAUUAUAAUGUCAAACAAAUUUUGGAAGCUUUGGCCAUCAAAAGCAAGGGCAAACAUGAAGUUGUUUGAGAACUUUUGUUCACUUGUGCUUCCUUCUCCAUGCGAAGGUGCCGCGGAUGAGAGAUUGGAAAGGAGACUUCGCCGGGCGGCUAAAAGUGUCGGACUCCAGGAGCUUGCAAAUAAGAGCGCUGAUGCCACUGGGGAUUGCCUUCCUCAUGCCCUCUAAACUCAGAAGCCACUGGGAAAUGUACCUUUUGUCGGUUAUCUACUGAUGUUCUACCUCAUAAAACUAAGUUGUUUUGUUUCUAAGUAUGUUUUCUUCCUGAAAUUUAGUAUGUAAGUAUGUAUCUUUGUGCUAUCUAGUUGAGGUUCCGUUAUGGGUCCAGUUUGGUAGGUGACGACACAGGUCCGCUCCUUACCUGCUUCACCCUAUGUGGUUCUUCAACUAGUAUUGUAGUAGUUAUGUUUAUUAAUAAAAUCUUUAAUGAGCAGGGCUUUUUACCCUGCUUUUCAGCUCAAAAAAAAUACGUCUUAACCAAAGCGAAGGAAAACUUCAAAAUCUUCAAACGGCAGGGAAGUUCGACAAAAGAUCUUUCGACCUUUUGCUGUGUAAAAAUUCUAUAGGACCUCUUGUUUGAAUCACUAUUCUUGUU
Asparagus officinalis (garden asparagus) is the source of this 1061-nucleotide RNA transcript. RefSeq lists it as uncharacterized. The transcript is spliced from 5 exons. Lineage: Eukaryota; Viridiplantae; Streptophyta; Magnoliopsida; Asparagales; Asparagaceae. The record is from RefSeq and is a predicted model, not a curated record.